GGGGGGGGCAAGCGUUGUUCGGAAUUACUGGGCGUAAAGGGUCUGUAGGCGGCCGUCUAAGUCGGACGUGAAAUCCCUCGGCUCAACCGGGGAACUGCGUCCGAUACUGAAUGGCUUGAAUCCGGGAGAGGGAUGCGGAAUUCCAGGUGUAGCGGUGAAAUGCGUAGAUAUCUGGAGGAACACCGGUGGCGAAGGCGGCAUCCUGGACCGGUAUUGACGCUGAGAGACGAAAGCCAGGGGAGCAAACGGGAUUAGAUACCCCGGUAGUCCUGGCCCUAAACGAUGAAUGCUUGGUGUGGCGGGUAUCGAUCCCUGCCGUGCCGAAGCUAACGCAUUAAGCAUUCCGCCUGGGGAGUACGGUCGCAAGGCUG
This 371-nucleotide ribosomal RNA is filed under the name uncultured bacterium. RNAcentral's name for it is "bacterial SSU rRNA". It matches the Rfam family "Bacterial small subunit ribosomal RNA", at positions 527 to 896 of the family's 1533-position model. The record is from RNAcentral.